UGAUCCGUAGUGUAAUGGUUACCACACAAGAUUUUGGUUCUUGGAAUCCCUGUUCGAGUCAGGGCGGAUCAA
RNAcentral lists this transfer RNA (72 nucleotides) under Caudoviricetes sp. RNAcentral describes it as "tRNA-Gln". It matches the Rfam family "tRNA". Rfam says of the family: Transfer RNA (tRNA) molecules are approximately 80 nucleotides in length. Their secondary structure includes four short double-helical elements and three loops (D, anti-codon, and T loops). Lineage: Duplodnaviria; Heunggongvirae; Uroviricota; Caudoviricetes. The record is from RNAcentral.